This 244-nucleotide unclassified non-coding RNA is filed under the name Hevea brasiliensis (rubber tree). The record is from RNAcentral. Lineage: Eukaryota; Viridiplantae; Streptophyta; Magnoliopsida; Malpighiales; Euphorbiaceae.
CCCUUGUUGUAAGCAUUAAAAAAAAAGAAGCAAUGUAUGAAUUAAAAAACGUUGAUGCCAAUAUAUGAAUUAAAUGAAAGAACAAACACAAUCUCGCAAUCUUAGAAGUUCACAACAAAUGCAAUCACAGUUGCUCGUUGCGCCAUACUAUCCUACUAUAUAUACACAUACAGCUGAUUCUUACCCCUAAAUUUCCUAAUUUCUACAUCAUCUGAGACUCUGUGCGCCGCCGGAUUUUUUUUUU